GGGAGCGUCGUCCAGCAAGGUAGGACGGCAGGCUCCAGACCUGUAGGCCGUGGGUUCAAGUCCCACCGCUCCCACCA
Molecule: transfer RNA, 77 nt
Filed under: Nitrososphaerota archaeon
Lineage: Archaea; Thermoproteati; Nitrososphaerota
Also listed under: 1 other name
Description: tRNA-Trp
Rfam family: tRNA
About the family: Transfer RNA (tRNA) molecules are approximately 80 nucleotides in length. Their secondary structure includes four short double-helical elements and three loops (D, anti-codon, and T loops). Further hydrogen bonds mediate the characteristic L-shaped molecular structure. tRNAs have two regions of fundamental functional importance: the anti-codon, which is responsible for specific mRNA codon recognition, and the 3' end, to which the tRNAs corresponding amino acid is attached (by aminoacyl-tRNA synthetases). tRNAs cope with the degeneracy of the genetic code in two manners: having more than one tRNA (with a specific anti-codon) for a particular amino acid; and 'wobble' base-pairing, i.e. permitting non-standard base-pairing at the 3rd anti-codon position.
Source: RNAcentral